Molecule: ribosomal RNA, 509 nt
Filed under: uncultured bacterium
Lineage: Bacteria
Description: bacterial SSU rRNA
Rfam family: Bacterial small subunit ribosomal RNA
Source: RNAcentral
GACGAACGCUGGCGGCGUGCCUAAUACAUGCAAGUCGAACGCACUCUCGUUUAGAUUGAAGGAGCUUGCUCCUGAUUGAUAAACAUUUGAGUGAGUGGCGGACGGGUGAGUAACACGUGGGUAACCUGCCCUAAAGUGGGGGAUAACAUUUGGAAACAGAUGCUAAUACCGCAUAAAACCUAACACCGCAUGGUGUAGGGUUGAAAGAUGGUUUCGGCUAUCACUUUAGGAUGGACCCGCGGUGCAUUAGUUAGUUGGUGAGGUAAAGGCUCACCAAGACCGUGAUGCAUAGCCGACCUGAGAGGGUAAUCGGCCACACUGGGACUGAGACACGGCCCAGACUCCUACGGGAGGCAGCAGUAGGGAAUCUUCCACAAUGGACGAAAGUCUGGUGGAGCAACGCCGCGUGAGUGAAGAAGGUUUUCGGAUCGUAAAACUCUGUUGUUGGAGAAGAAUGUAUCUGAUAGUAACUGAUCAGGUAGUGACGGUAUCCAACCAGAAAGCCACGG